GCCGCGUUCGUCUAGAGGCCUAGGACGCCGCCCUCUCACGGCGGUAACACGGGUUCAAAUCCCGUACGCGGUA
RNAcentral lists this transfer RNA (73 nucleotides) under Rubricoccus marinus. It matches the Rfam family "tRNA". From Rfam's summary of the family: Transfer RNA (tRNA) molecules are approximately 80 nucleotides in length. Lineage: Bacteria; Pseudomonadati; Rhodothermota; Rhodothermia; Rhodothermales; Rubricoccaceae. The record is from Rfam by way of RNAcentral.